UUCAUUAUCGAUUUGUUGUGUCGCGUGAUUCGUGCGUCACUCGCCGUGUCGUGGAGCCGUCUACUCCACCUGCAGAGCUUUGUCAAUGCUGGCUGACAGAAAUAAAGUUUGUUUAAAAAAAUAAAUAAAUUAAAAAAAAAAAAAAAAAAAAAACUCCACCUGUACCACCUGUAGAGCGAGUUGAACAGAGCGAGGUGGCGGCAAAGCGAAAGUAAAUUCAGAGUAAAUUCAACGAAACAUGACCGACACGGAGAAAACAGUUCGACCGAAAUCCUCAAAAGUGUGGCAGCAUUUCACGCUUCAAAAAAAAAAAAAAAAAAAACAUGCGUAACAUGCAAGCUUUACAAAAGUAAUAUGAGAUGGAACAGGAGCACCACGAUGAUGAUAGAGCACCUGAAACGCAACAUGUCGCCGACGAGGAUGAAGGAGCUCAACAGCAGCAAAAAAUGACAGGCUUCAUGAUGAGAAAGACAUCAUGUCCACCACAGCAAGCAGCUGUCUUGACUGAUCAUCACUGACAUGAGGCCUCUGUUGAUGGUUGAAGACAAAGGCUUUGCUACAAUGAUCUUAUUUGUUCUGUCAGUCCAAAUCUUCUCUUUCUGAAUAAAGCAGCGGAAAUUAAAAAAGUGUUUUUUAAAAAAAUCCGAUUAAUCGAAAAAAAAUAAUCGGCCGAUUAAUCGAUUAUUAAAAUAAUCGUUAGUUGCAGCCCUAGUAAGAAUAGUUUUUGGCUCUUUUUUUAUUAUGAAAUCUUGUUGAGAACUUCCAGUCUAUGAGAGCUAACUAGUUAGCCACUAGCAAAAUGCUAAGGCGAGCUAGCAGCUUGACAACCAAAUACCAGACGAUUAAUAGUAGCUGUAGUAGUACAAGCAGUAGUAGUAAUACUAAAAGUACAAGCAGCAGUAGUAGUAUAAACAGCUGUUAUAGAGUCGUAGAAGUAGCAUCAGCAUUUGUAAUAGUAUUCCAAGUUGUAGUAGCAGUGCCAGUAUCAGCAGUUAAUGUACUACCACUACUACUAUUAGUAGUCACAUUGCUAUUACUACCACCAAUACUACCAAUAGUAGUUAUAAAGGCUAACUCAUGUAUAUCCAGAUUAACAUCUAUGUUCUUCCUCCAAACCCAUUUUAUGAUUGGGAUUACAGGCAAUUCUUUAGGACUGCUCUCAAAUAAUUGAAAUGUUACUAAACAAGGUUAUACUUAUCAAAUUAAAUAGUUCUGGUCUCCAGUAUAUUGGCGAAUUCAGUUUUUUGUACUUAAUUUAUUGGCAUGAUUUCUUUUUAAUAUGUUGUGUACAGACUUAAUUACUUCUCUGUCUACUUUUCUUACUCCAUGUAGGUUUCCCAGAGACUAUGAGCUGAGGAGGAAUUGGAAGUUUGUCGGCUUAGACCUGGUGUCAUUCCAUCAGUGUUAAACUUCCCAGCUCAUCUUGGAAGAGUACGUGCCAGAAAGACCACAACCAAGCAGCCUUGAGAUCUUAGGCAGCAUCUCCCUGAGGUCCCUCUCUAUCUCCCCACACAUCCACCAACCACUGGAACACAUCUCCAAAGUUCUGCUGGGCCAGCUCAGCUUCCCCUCAGAAGAAGUGCCGCCACCUGCCAGAUGAAGGAGCCUUUUGAGAGGCAGCUGGCAUCGUGAUUGGACUGUACUUUGGUCUGUUCCAAUCCAGCUUCAGCUCCAGAGACGGCAGGCGGGACGAGUCAACGGAGGCCUGGUGGACGAAGACAUGCAGCUGAGUACAAUCCAGAAAACAACAGAGGAGGAGUGCAGCGGCCCAGUAUAGCCUUUGACCAAAGAACUACAGACUCUUCACAACCUGCUCAAACUCUUGGUACAGGACCUCACCACACGGGUCAAGAAGGUUUCCGUCUCAUUUCUACUCUGAAGCUCACCUUCUCCUGCUCAAACUGCUGACAAAUGUUUCUGCUGCUCUAAAGUCUGGUCUCCAGAACUUCCUAAAAACUCUCAAAGUCUCUUCUGCUGCAGGUUGCUUUGUAGAACUGUUCCAGAAAACCUCACUAAACCACAUGGAGGAGCCUCAAGAUAGUCGUCCAAAUGAAACUACAAAAACCAAACUAGCACAACCCAAACGCUAAAGUCUCCUGCAGCCUACCAGAGAACCUCUGAGAACAGAGAAUCAGGACAGGAACUCUUACCUUCUGGACAACCAACCUUGGUCCACAAACAAGAAUACAGAAUGUGUCUGACCAAACCUCUAAAGACUCACUACAGCCAAGAUAAAGACACAACUCAGCUGCAUCAAACCCACUAAUCACUGCACACAUUAGCACCAUCUGCUAACUGUGGCUAAAGAACCACAUUUACCAAGACAACUAUCCAGUACAAAGCCCUAAAACACACCAAGAAACACAUUAAAGACGAUUUUACUGCUGGAAGCUGCAAGCCAACGCCUAACCAACAAACUAAAGCAACAGAGCCAAACCCGGUUAGUGGUGAAGAGAAGCAGAGGAAAUGUUUGUCUGCAGCCACAUAAAGCAGGAAGACACUGAGCUGCUCAGGUGUUCCUGAUAACACCAAGCAGCCACCUGGACAGCCAAUAGGAACGCAGCUUACUGGAAUUCCAGAGGGCUGGCUUAGUGAAGGAAAUUUAAUUUAAAGUUGAAGCAGAAAGUUAACAAAGAAAGUUGAAAACCACCUUCUGAUACCUGAAAUCUCUGAGUUUUCACACAAAGAACACCUGAACAUGUCAAACUGGUUCCAUAGUAGAACCAUCAUUGUAAAAACGUCAUAGUAUGGUGUGUUGCUCAAAAAACAUUAGGACCCGGCUGUCAGGGGACAAACAUGUAAGAAACAUGAGAACAGAGAGAACCCAACCAGUAGGUCACAGUUUAUCAUCCCCCAGUCAUCUCCUGAAGUCCAUAUGGUGAGAGACAUUAGUAUCUGGUUGUUAAUUUACCAGAGGAUGCUUAUAAUCAUGCUGAUGUGGUCUGUACUCUACAGUAUUUUAGUGACUCAAUAAAUGCCUAAAUGCUUUUUAGUUUUUAAUAAACAUUUAACAGCAUAUAUGUAAUCAAUAAAUGGCCUUUGCCUAUCUUAAGAAAAAUUCACUCAGAACUCUAUGUUAACUACUAAAUAAAUAAAUACAUGCAUACACACAAAAAUAAGGUAAUACAUUAACUGUGUUAAGAUAAGAUUUAGAUUUUAAAAAAGUUGUUUGUUUUUGCAGAAUCCAGUAUUGCUCACUGGUUGGUCAUUACAUUUUGUUAGUUUGAUUUCACUGUUUAAAAUGAUGCCACCUCUUUUCAGACAGAACCUGUGAUAAUAAAACAAUACAAAAUUUUUAGUUCUGUGUUAAUAAAGCACUUAAAGCUUUAAGUAUGGCCAAAUGCUUUUUUCAGAAUUAAAUAUAUCACUCCUUAGGUGGUAGUGGCCCCAAGUUCAGUAAAGUUGGAAAGAUAUUCACAGAUUCGGACUUCCAGCAUCAAUAACUCAUUAGAUAUCGGUUGUCAAAACAUAAACGGUGCCUCUUUCCCAUUGUUGCAAGGCAGACAAUGUGCUACAAGCCCAGUUUUAUCAAAAGUAUCUGUCUUUCAAGCUACAGGAAUAACACUGGUGUCUAUGGAGUGAACAGGGUCCGUCUGCAAUUUGCAAAACCGCUGCAACAGUAAAGAGAGACAAAUAUUCAAUAACUUCACUCUUAUACAUUGUAGUGUCACUAAAAUCACUGCAGCCUUCAACUGGCUCCUGUUGACAAAGUGUUUUAACAGAAAUGUAAAUGCUGUAAUUUGAUUCUUUUAAUGAACCAUGUAACUUGAAUGGAUGUGAUGCUGGUGUGACCACAGUGCACACGUCUGAUGUUGCUCACAGUGGUCCAAGGGACGCUCAGGGAGUUUGUGUGUUUGCUCACACUCAGGAAAAACUACAGGGAACAUUGGAUGCCAGUUUAAGAAGCAUAUAUGUUUGACCUCUGCCUGCAUAUCUUGGUUUGGCCUUCCAGCUAUGUCUUUGAUUAUCUUGGAUUGUGCAACCAUUUAUUAUCUGGAAAAGAGCAUCCCACACAAAUCUAUUUCUAACAUCCUAUUAACAUUUAGAACUGCACAUAUAACAAGUUAAACCAUAGCUCUUUACUAAUGACUUGAUAAUAUUGAUAGAGUGUUUGAUUUGGACGCCAAUACAUCAAUAUCCAUUGAUUUCUAAAGGUUUGUAAGAGCAAUUAUGUCAGGAAUUGUAUUUUUCUAUAAUCCUCUAUUUUAGUUAUGUAACUGUAAACCCUCAAUAAAAUUGAUUCUUCUUUGUUUCUUUGAGCGUGGAUUUUUACAUUUAGGAUGCCCGUGUUCAUAUAACUAGUUUUACAAUGUGCAAUUCACUGUUACAAUUUAGUCGGUAGAAUUCUGGCUUGUAUUAAAUGCUCAUUUUUUGGUGAAGAUUGCUGGUGAACAAAAUCAUAAAUGAUGAACGUAAACCCUAAACUCUACAUGGAUCCUAUGAGGUUAGAAACUUACAAAUGCAGAAACAAUGAUGUAGUUGCUGAAAGCUAAAUAUUUUUUUAAAUAGCCAUGUCUCAGAUGCAAUAUUUUUAGCUUUAUUUUUACAUUUUUGUCAUAAACAUUUGCUGAUCAUUGUCUAUAGUAAUGAGUCCACAUUUCUUUCUUUUCACUCUAUAGUCUCUUAUGGUUAACUUAUUGACUGAUUGUGUAUCUGGAUCAAAAUCUGCUGCACACAACUGCCCUUACAUGGAUAAAUCAAGUUGGACUGAAUUAAAUUGAACUGAAACAGGAUGUCAUAUUUAGAGCCUACAAAAUUCUGUUUCUUUUCAGCCUAUCAA
Amphiprion ocellaris (clown anemonefish) is the source of this 4780-nucleotide long non-coding RNA. RefSeq lists it as uncharacterized. The record is from RefSeq and is a predicted model, not a curated record. The transcript has 4 exons. Lineage: Eukaryota; Metazoa; Chordata; Actinopteri; Pomacentridae.